AACGCACCUUGCGCCUUUUGGUAUUCCGAAAGGCACACCUGUUUGAGCGUCAUGAACACCUCAAUCCCCAUCUUUUCUUCGGAUCGAUGGGUGGCUUGGAUGUUGAGCCCUGCUGGUAUGCUAUAUCAGCUGGCUUUAAACUUAUUAGCCGGCUUUGUACUGGAUCGGUUUGACUCGACGUGAUAAUAUUAUCGUUGAGGAUGCAUGUCUCAUGCAGCCGGAAAGUAUCAAAGCAGCUUCUAGCUCGCCUUUAGCGCACUUUUACAUUUUAGACCUCAGAUCAGGUGGGACUACCCGCUGAACUUAA
Molecule: unclassified non-coding RNA, 307 nt
Filed under: uncultured fungus
Lineage: Eukaryota; Fungi
Description: sequence contains ITS2
Source: RNAcentral